This 76-nucleotide transfer RNA is filed under the name Anaeromyxobacter dehalogenans 2CP-C. RNAcentral describes it as "tRNA-Ala (TGC) (tRNA-Ala-TGC-1-1, tRNA-Ala-TGC-1-2)". It matches the Rfam family "tRNA". Rfam says of the family: Transfer RNA (tRNA) molecules are approximately 80 nucleotides in length. Their secondary structure includes four short double-helical elements and three loops (D, anti-codon, and T loops). The record is from RNAcentral. Lineage: Bacteria; Pseudomonadati; Myxococcota; Myxococcia; Myxococcales; Anaeromyxobacteraceae. RNAcentral also lists the same sequence under 4 other names.
GGGGCUGUAGCUCAGUUGGUAGAGCGCCAGCUUUGCAAGCUGGAUGUCGUCGGUUCGACCCCGAUCAGCUCCACCA